Molecule: ribosomal RNA, 428 nt
Filed under: Verrucomicrobiota bacterium
Lineage: Bacteria; Pseudomonadati; Verrucomicrobiota
Description: Verrucomicrobia bacterium partial 16S ribosomal RNA
Rfam family: Bacterial small subunit ribosomal RNA
Source: RNAcentral
UAGGGAAUCUUCCGCAAUGGACGAAAGUCUGACGGAGCAACGCCGCGUGAGUGAAGAAGGAUUUCGGUUCGUAAAACUCUGUUGUUAGGGAAGAAAAAAUGUAUAGUAACUAUAUACAAAAGAGACGGUACCUAACCAGAAAGCCCCGGCUAAAUACGUGCCAGCAGCCGCGGUAAUACGUAUGGGGCGAGCGUUGUCCGGAAUUAUUGGGCGUAAAGGGUACGUAGGCGGUCUAUUAAGUCAGGUGUGAAAGCGUGAGGCUUAACCUCAUUAAGCACUUGAAACUGAUAGACUUGAGUGAAGGAGAGGAAAGUGGAAUUCCUAGUGUAGCGGUGAAAUGCGUAGAUAUUAGGAGGAAUACCGGUGGCGAAGGCGACUUUCUGGACUUUUACUGACGCUCAGGUACGAAAGCGUGGGGAGCAAACAGG